This 523-nucleotide ribosomal RNA is filed under the name Salmonella enterica subsp. enterica serovar Montevideo str. S5-403. RNAcentral's name for it is "SSU rRNA". It matches the Rfam family "Bacterial small subunit ribosomal RNA", at positions 1010 to 1533 of the family's 1533-position model. Lineage: Bacteria; Pseudomonadati; Pseudomonadota; Gammaproteobacteria; Enterobacterales; Enterobacteriaceae. The record is from RNAcentral.
AUUGGUGCCUUCGGGAACCGUGAGACAGGUGCUGCAUGGCUGUCGUCAGCUCGUGUUGUGAAAUGUUGGGUUAAGUCCCGCAACGAGCGCAACCCUUAUCCUUUGUUGCCAGCGAUUCGGUCGGGAACUCAAAGGAGACUGCCAGUGAUAAACUGGAGGAAGGUGGGGAUGACGUCAAGUCAUCAUGGCCCUUACGACCAGGGCUACACACGUGCUACAAUGGCGCAUACAAAGAGAAGCGACCUCGCGAGAGCAAGCGGACCUCAUAAAGUGCGUCGUAGUCCGGAUUGGAGUCUGCAACUCGACUCCAUGAAGUCGGAAUCGCUAGUAAUCGUGGAUCAGAAUGCCACGGUGAAUACGUUCCCGGGCCUUGUACACACCGCCCGUCACACCAUGGGAGUGGGUUGCAAAAGAAGUAGGUAGCUUAACCUUCGGGAGGGCGCUUACCACUUUGUGAUUCAUGACUGGGGUGAAGUCGUAACAAGGUAACCGUAGGGGAACCUGCGGUUGGAUCACCUCCUUA